RNAcentral lists this ribosomal RNA (310 nucleotides) under Symbiodinium sp. clade A. RNAcentral's name for it is "partial Bacterial small subunit ribosomal RNA". It matches the Rfam family "Bacterial small subunit ribosomal RNA", at positions 358 to 660 of the family's 1533-position model. The record is from RNAcentral. Lineage: Eukaryota; Dinophyceae; Suessiales; Symbiodiniaceae.
GGAAUAUUGGACAAUGGGCGGAAGCCUGAUCCAGCAAUACCGCGUGUGUGAAGAAGGCCUGCGGGUUGUAAAGCACUUUCAGGGGGGAGGAAGAAAUCAUUGCGAAUAGCAUUGGUGGAUGACGUUACCCCCAGAAGAAGCACCGGCUAACUCUGUGCCAGCAGCCGCGGUAAUACAGAGGGUGCAAGCGUUAAUCGGAAUGACUGGGCGUAAAGGGCGUGUAGGUGGUUUGAUAAGUGAGGUGUGAAAACCCUGGGCUUAACCUAGGACGUGCAUCUGAUACUGUCAGACUAGAGUAUAGAAGAGGAAA